CUGACAUUGUCUCAGUGCACUGAUUCAGGAAGCCCCUCUAGUGGUCAUCUGAGUGACUGCACCUACAGUAUCUCACAAAAGGGAGUACACAGCAAAUUUACACUGUUACACAGGCUGUACACGUACUACUUUACAUUGUAGCAGAGUGUCAUUUCUUCAGUGUUGACACAUGAACAGAUAUAAAAUAAUUACAAAACUGUGAAG
This is a non-coding RNA of Pelobates cultripes (western spadefoot toad), 204 nucleotides long. The record is from the annotation of a GenBank genome assembly. NCBI's taxonomy places the organism in Eukaryota, Metazoa, Chordata, Amphibia, Anura, Pelobatidae.